This 46-nucleotide non-coding RNA is filed under the name Trichobilharzia regenti. Lineage: Eukaryota; Metazoa; Platyhelminthes; Trematoda; Strigeidida; Schistosomatidae. The record is from RNAcentral.
UUACUGAUGAAGAGUCCCCAAAUAGGACGAAACCGCAGUCCAGUAC